CAGUUCGGAUUGUAGUCUGCAACCCGACUACAUGAAGCUGGAAUCGCUAGUAAUCGCGGAUCAGAAUGUCGCGGUGAAUACGUUCCCGGGUCUUGUACACACCGCCCGUCACACCAUGGGAGUCAGCAACGCCCGAAGUCAGUGACCUAACCGAAAGGAAGGAGCUGCCGAAGGCGGGGCCGGUAACUGGGGUGAAGUCGUAACAAGGUACC
RNAcentral lists this ribosomal RNA (212 nucleotides) under uncultured bacterium. RNAcentral describes it as "partial 16S ribosomal RNA". It matches the Rfam family "Bacterial small subunit ribosomal RNA", at positions 1289 to 1500 of the family's 1533-position model. The record is from RNAcentral.